Molecule: ribosomal RNA, 253 nt
Filed under: uncultured bacterium
Lineage: Bacteria
Description: partial 16S ribosomal RNA
Rfam family: Bacterial small subunit ribosomal RNA
Source: RNAcentral
UACGUAGGGUGCGAGCGUUGUCCGGAAUUAUUGGGCGUAAAGAGCUUGUAGGCGGUUUGUCGCGUCUGCUGUGAAAAUCCGGGGCUCAACCCCGGACUUGCAGUGGGUACGGGGAGACUGGAGUGUGGUAGGGGAGACUGGAAUUCCUGGUGUAGCGGUGGAAUGCGCAGAUAUCAGGAAGAACACCAAUGGCGAAGGCAGCUCUCUGGGACGGUACUGACGCUGAGACGCGAAAGCGUGGGGAGCGAACAGG